Molecule: long non-coding RNA, 193 nt
Organism: Talpa occidentalis (Iberian mole)
Lineage: Eukaryota; Metazoa; Chordata; Mammalia; Eulipotyphla; Talpidae
Exons: 3
Source: RefSeq, a predicted model, not a curated record
CUGGGAGGUCCUGAGCAUGCAGGGAUGAAGAAGGCCUAUCCUUACCUGGCAUGCAGUCCACUGAAGAAUAUGUACAAGCAUAACAAGGGUGCCAGGACAAGUUCCCCCAAGAAAGUGGUAUUUCAGGAGAGGCCUGGGUAAGAUUUUGACUGACAGAGACAAGGAGAAAAGUGGUGUUGAUCGUGGAGGAUUU